GACAGAGGAUGCAAGCGUUAUCCGGAAUGAUUGGGCGUAAAGCGUCUGUAGGUGGCUUUUUAAGUCCGCCGUCAAAUCCCAGGGCUCAACCCUGGACAGGCGGUGGAAACUACCAAGCUGGAGUACGGUAGGGGCAGAGGGAAUUCCCGGUGGAGCGGUGAAAUGCGUAGAGAUCGGGAAGAACGCCAAGGGCGAAGGCACUCUGCUAGGCCUGAUUUCGCGACUGACACUCAGGGACGAGAGCCAGGGGAGCGAAUGGG
This 260-nucleotide ribosomal RNA is filed under the name uncultured bacterium. RNAcentral's name for it is "partial 16S ribosomal RNA". It matches the Rfam family "Bacterial small subunit ribosomal RNA", at positions 524 to 776 of the family's 1533-position model. The record is from RNAcentral.